GUGCCAGGGGGGAUCCAGCAGUGCUGGGAUCAGGGAUCUGGCUGUACUGGGAUCAGGGAUGUGGCAGUGCUGGGAUCAGGGAUGUGGUCGUGCUGGGAUCAGGGAGGGAUCCAGCAGUACUGGGAUCAGGGAUGUGGCAGUACUGGGAUCAGGGAUGUGGUCAUGCUGGGAUCAGGGAUGUGGCCGUGCUGGGAUCAGGGAUGUGGCCGUGCUGGGAUCAGGGAUGUGGCUGUACUGGGAUCAGGGAUGUGGCUGUACUGGGAUCAGGGAUGUGGCCGUGCUGGGAUCAGGGAGGGAUCUGGCAGUGCUGGGAUCAGGGAUCUGGCAGUACUGGGAUCAGGCAUGUGGCUGUGCUGGGAUCAGGGAUGUGGCUGUACUGGGAUCAGGGAUCUGGCAGUACUGGGAUCAGGGAUGUGGCAGUGCUGGGAUCACAGGGGGAUCCAGCUGUACUGGGAUCAGGGAUCUGGCAGUACUGGGAUCAGGGAUGUGGCCGUGCUGGGAUCAGGGAUGUGGCCGUGCUGGGAUCAGGGAUGGAUGUGGCAGUGCUGGGAUCAGGGAUGGAUGUGGCUGUACUGGGAUCAGGGAUCUGGCAGUGCUGGGAUCAGGGAUCUGGCAGUGCUGGGAUCAGGGCUGGCUGUGGCUGUGCUGGGAUCAGGGAUCUGGCAGUACUGGGAUCAGGGAUGUGGCAGUGCUGGGAUCAGGGAUCUGGCAGUGCUGGGAUCAGGGCUGUGGCCGUGCUGGGAUCAGGGAUGUGGCUGUACUGGGAUCAGGGAUCUGGCAGUGCUGGGAUCAGGGAUCUGGCAGUGCUGGGAUCAGGGAUGUGGCUGUACUGGGAUCAGGGAUCCAGCUGUACUGGGAUCAGGGAUCCAGCUGUACUGGGAUCAGGGAUGUGGCCGUGCUGGGAUCACAGGGGGAUCUGGCUGUACUGGGAUCAGGGCUGUGGCCGUGCUGGCUCGGGGGGUCCGGCAGUAGGGGAUGGAUCCGGCGAUUGCAGGGAGGGGCACUGGGAUCCUGCGCCGCUCCAGGGAAUGGGAUGGGGCACGGGGGGGUCACACAGACACCCCCAGACCCAGCUGGGGCUGGGGCUCUGCAGGGGUCGGGGAUCCAGCACCGGGAUCUGCCCGGGAAGGGGCUGGUGGUGAUCGGGGACAGGGCAGGGGCUGUGACACCCCCAGGGACAGGGACUGUGACACCCCCAGGGACAGGGCAGGGACUGUGACACCCCCAGGGACAGGGUGGGACUGUGACACCCCCAGGGACAGGGUGAGAGCUAUGACACCCCCAGGGACAGGGUGGGAGCUGUGACACCCCCAGGGACAGGGACUGUGACACCCCCAGGGACAGGGACUGUGACACCCCCAGGGACAGGGCAGGGAC
Pseudopipra pipra is the source of this 1377-nucleotide long non-coding RNA. RefSeq lists it as uncharacterized. The transcript has 4 exons. NCBI's taxonomy places the organism in Eukaryota, Metazoa, Chordata, Aves, Passeriformes, Pipridae. The record is from RefSeq and is a predicted model, not a curated record.